Molecule: long non-coding RNA, 569 nt
Filed under: Helianthus annuus (common sunflower)
Lineage: Eukaryota; Viridiplantae; Streptophyta; Magnoliopsida; Asterales; Asteraceae
Description: hypothetical non coding rna
Source: RNAcentral
GGUUGUAGCCGUCUGUUGAUUCAUGAUUUGGUGAAGCUCCAGUGACUAGGCUCUUUUCGGAGAAGCAGCAAUUACAAGGCUCGCUUCUGCAUGUUCUGUUGUAGAACGGAUUCAUGAUUUUCCAAGGUUAGUUGGAGUGGCUUUGGAGAAGAUAGAAGUUUAUACAACCGGUUAAACCGUCCGGUACACCCGGUUGAACCGUCCGAUACACCUGGUUGAACCGCUUCUAAGCCCGGCCCAGUACGGAAUAAAAACCAGUUUUUAAAACAUUGGUUUCUACAACUCAGCUGCCGGCAACAACCCCGGUACACUGGUGAAGGCUGUCACACUUUGUUGUGGUGAUAUCAGACCAGAAGAUUGUGAGGACUUUGUGAAGAAAGAGGCGGCCGCGUGGAGAUCCAACGAAGAAGUGCAGGGUAGAAAGGUCACGGAACUACAUAUCAUCAUCUUGGACCCUUUAAAUGAUUUAAAUUAUUAGAAGGAUUUUAUAUUUGUUUAUUGCUUUGAAUGUUUCAUCUCCUUUUAGUGAAACAAAUGUGAAAAUUUCAAUAGACAACAUAUUUUACUGU